This 301-nucleotide long non-coding RNA is filed under the name Gossypium barbadense (sea-island cotton). Its description in RNAcentral is "long non-coding RNA (GBAR_LNC008770)". The record is from RNAcentral. Lineage: Eukaryota; Viridiplantae; Streptophyta; Magnoliopsida; Malvales; Malvaceae.
UUCUAUCAUUUUUGCUCGCUCAACCAGAUCAACAAGUUCAAUAAUUCUGAGACUUACCAAUUGAAUCUUGAUUUCAUCUCGCAGUCCCCGUAGAAAUCGUUUACAACUAUCAGCCUCGGUUGGAACAUAUUCUAAAGCAUACCUGCUCAAUUUAGAGAACUCUCGCUCAUUAUCCAGUACUGACAUAUUCCACUGUUUCAACACUAAAAACUCUUGCUUUUUCUCUUCAAUGUACAAUUCCCCAAUAUACUUCUUCUGAAAUUCUUUUUGAAACAAGUCCCAAGUUACCUGAUCAUCCGGC